Molecule: ribosomal RNA, 468 nt
Filed under: uncultured bacterium
Lineage: Bacteria
Description: partial 16S ribosomal RNA
Rfam family: Bacterial small subunit ribosomal RNA
Source: RNAcentral
GACGAACGCUGGCGGCGUGCUUAACACAUGCAAGUCGAACGGAAAGGCCCUGCUUUUGUGGGGUGCUCGAGUGGCGAACGGGUGAGUAACACGUGAGUAACCUGCCCUUGACUUUGGGAUAACUUCAGGAAACUGGGGCUAAUACCGGAUAGGAGCUCCUGCUGCAUGGUGGGGGUUGGAAAGUUUCGGCGGUUGGGGAUGGACGCGCGGCUUAUCAGCUUGUUGGUGGGGUAGUGGCCUACCAAGGCUUUGACGGGUAGCCGGCCUGAGAGGGUGACCGGCCACAUUGCGACUGAGAUACGGCCCAGACUCCUACGGGAGGCAGCAGUGGGGAAUAUUGCACAAUGGGCGGAAGCCUGAUGCAGCAACGCCGCGUGCGGGAUGACGGCCUUCGGGUUGUAAACCGCUUUCGCCUGUGACGAAGCGUGAGUGACGGUAAUGUGUAAAGAAGCACCGGCUAACUACGUG